This 300-nucleotide ribosomal RNA is filed under the name uncultured Lactobacillus sp. Its description in RNAcentral is "bacterial SSU rRNA". It matches the Rfam family "Bacterial small subunit ribosomal RNA", at positions 496 to 795 of the family's 1533-position model. The record is from RNAcentral. Lineage: Bacteria; Bacillati; Bacillota; Bacilli; Lactobacillales; Lactobacillaceae.
GUGAAGUUCGGGCCAGCAGCCGCGGUAGGAAGGGGGGUCCUAGCGUUGGUCGGAAUCAUUGGGCGUAAAGCGUGUGCAGGUGGUUUUGUAAGUUGGAUGUGAAAGCCUUUGGCUUAACCCAAGAAGUGCAUUCAAAACUGCAGAACUUGAGUAAGGAAGAGGGUCGUGGAAUUCCUGGUGUAGUGGUGAAAUACGUAGAUAUCAGGAGGAACACCGGUGGCGAAGGCGGCGACCUGGUCCUAUACUGACACUCAUACACGAAAGCGUGGGGAUCAAACAGGAUUAGAUACCCGUGUAGUC